This 245-nucleotide ribosomal RNA is filed under the name uncultured bacterium. RNAcentral's name for it is "partial 16S ribosomal RNA". It matches the Rfam family "Bacterial small subunit ribosomal RNA", at positions 524 to 768 of the family's 1533-position model. The record is from RNAcentral.
GACAGAGGGGGCAAGCGUUGCUCGGAAUCACUGGGCGUAAAGGGCGCGUAGGCGGGAUGGCAAGUCAGUCGUGAAAUCUCUCGGCUCAACCGAGAAACGUCGGCUGAUACUGCCGUUCUUGAGGGAUGCAGAGGAGACUGGAAUUCCCGGUGUAGCGGUGAAAUGUGUAGAGAUCGGGAGGAACACCGGUGGCGAAGGCGGGUCUCUGGGCAUCUCCUGACGCUGAGGCGCGAAAGCGUGGGGAG